AACAAAUAUUACUUUGUAUUUGCGGUUUUUAUAAUCAAUUUCUUUGAUAAUCUAAGUUCCAAAACAUCCCUUACUCACUUUCACAAUUUCAUCAUGGCACGGUCAAGAAAACAGUCGGCAGCCAGGUGAGAUUCUUUCAUAAUAUCCGUAAUGAAAGAUAGAAAUACUGUUUCAAGCGAAAGUUUAGUUUAUAAACUUGUAUCUCUGUGGCUAUAUUUAUUUCUCACUUGC
RNAcentral lists this long non-coding RNA (231 nucleotides) under Mytilus galloprovincialis (Mediterranean mussel). Lineage: Eukaryota; Metazoa; Mollusca; Bivalvia; Mytilida; Mytilidae. The record is from RNAcentral.